GCAAGUCGAACGCUUUUGGGGCUUCGGCCCCAAGGGAGUGGCGCACGGGUGAGUAGCGCGUGGGAACCUGCCCUGUUGUGGGGGAUAACCGAGGGAAACUUCGGCUAAUACCGCAUGCGCCCCGGUGAUGAGCCGGGGGAAAGAUUUAUCGCAGCAGGAGGGGCCCGCGUCGGAUUAGCUGGUUGGUGGGGUAACGGCCCACCAAGGCGAUGAUCCGUAGCUGGUCUGAGAGGAUGAUCAGCCACACUGGGACUGAGACACGGCCCAGACUCCUACGGGAGGCAGCAGUAGGGAAUACUGGACAAUGGGCGCAAGCCUGAUCCAGCAAUGCCGCGUGAGUGAUGAAGGCCUUCGGGUUGUAAAGCUCUUUCGCCCGCGACGAUNAUGACGGUAGCGGGAGAAGAAGCCCCGGCUAACUUCGUGCCAGCAGCCGCGGUAAUACGAAGGGGGCGAGCGUUGUUCGGAUUUACUGGGCGUAAAGGGCGCGUANGCGGCCCUUCAAGUCAGGCGUGAAAGCCCCGGGCUC
RNAcentral lists this ribosomal RNA (526 nucleotides) under uncultured bacterium. RNAcentral describes it as "bacterial SSU rRNA". It matches the Rfam family "Bacterial small subunit ribosomal RNA", at positions 57 to 610 of the family's 1533-position model. The record is from RNAcentral.